Myotis lucifugus (little brown bat) is the source of this 297-nucleotide unclassified non-coding RNA. It matches the Rfam family "Metazoan signal recognition particle RNA". Rfam says of the family: The signal recognition particle (SRP) is a universally conserved ribonucleoprotein. It is involved in the co-translational targeting of proteins to membranes. The eukaryotic SRP consists of a 300-nucleotide 7S RNA and six proteins: SRPs 72, 68, 54, 19, 14, and 9. NCBI's taxonomy places the organism in Eukaryota, Metazoa, Chordata, Mammalia, Chiroptera, Vespertilionidae. The record is from Ensembl.
GCCGGGCGCGGUGGCGCGCGCCUGUAGUCCCAGCUACUCGGGAGGCUGAGGCUGGAGGAUCGCUUGAGCCCAGGAGUUCUGGGCUGUAGUGCGCUAUGCCGAUCGGGUGUCCGCACUAAGUUCGGCAUCAAUAUGGUGACCUCCCGGGAGCGGGGGGCCACCAGGUUGCCUAAGGAGGGGUGAACCGGCCCAGGUCGGAGACGGAGCAGGUCAAAGCUCCCGUGCUGAUCAGUAGUGGGAUCGCGCCUGUGAAUAGCCACUGCACUCCAGCCUGGGCAACAUAGCGAGACCCCGUCU